RNAcentral lists this ribosomal RNA (537 nucleotides) under Minisyncoccota bacterium. Its description in RNAcentral is "bacterial SSU rRNA". It matches the Rfam family "Bacterial small subunit ribosomal RNA", at positions 1 to 504 of the family's 1533-position model. Lineage: Bacteria; Bacillati; Minisyncoccota. The record is from RNAcentral.
UUUUUUGAGAAUUUGAUCCUGGUUCAGGAUGAACGCUGGCGGUGUGCCUUAAGCAUGCAAGUCGAACGGUAUAUUGUUGGACUUUGGAUGACUCAACGGCACGAUCGCUCUUUUAUAGAGUAAUUUGUGUUGUUGAUUCCAAAGUCCAAUGAUGUGCAGUGGCAGACGGGUGAGUAAUACGUAGGAACCUACCUCUUUGUGGGGGACAGCUCGCCGAAAGGCGGGGUAAUACCGCAUGUGAUCGCAAGAUCAAAGCCGUAAGGCGCGAAGAGAGGGGCCUGCGUCCCAUCAGCUAGUUGGCGGGGUAAACGCCCACCAAGGCAACGACGGGUAGCCGGUGUGAGAGCAUGGCCGGCCACAAGGUCACUGAGACACGGGACCUACACCUACGGGUGGCAGCAACUGGGAAUCUUGCGCAAUGGACGAAAGUCUGACGCAGCGACACCGCGUGUGGGAAGAAGGCCUUCGGGUUGUAAACCACUGUGGCGAGGGAACAAAAAAAUGAGGGUACCUCGCUAGAAAGCACCUGCUAACUAC